This 301-nucleotide ribosomal RNA is filed under the name uncultured bacterium. RNAcentral describes it as "partial 16S ribosomal RNA". It matches the Rfam family "Bacterial small subunit ribosomal RNA", at positions 509 to 808 of the family's 1533-position model. The record is from RNAcentral.
CAGCCCGCCGCGGUAAUACGUAGGGCGCAAGCGUUAUCCGGAAUUAUUGGGCGUAAAGAGCUCGUAGGCGGUUUGUCGCGUCUGCCGUGAAAGUCCGGGGCUCAACCCCGGAUCUGCGGUGGGUGCGGGCAGACUAGAGUGAUGUAGGGGAGACUGGAAUUCCUGGUGUAGCGGUGAAAUGCGCAGAUAUCAGGAGGAACACCGAUGGCGAAGGCAGGUCUCUGGGCAUUAACUGACGCUGAGGAGCGAAAGCAUGGGGAGCGAACAGGAUUAGAUACCCCUGUAGUCCCUGUCUCUUAUA